AUUGAACGCUGGCGGCAGGCCUAACACAUGCAAGUCGAACGGUAACAGGAAGAAGCUUGCUUCUUUGCUGACGAGUGGCGGACGGGUGAGUAAUGUCUGGGAAACUGCCUGAUGGAGGGGGAUAACUACUGGAAACGGUAGCUAAUACCGCAUAACGUCGCAAGACCAAAAAGGGGGGCCUUCGGGCCUCUUGCCAUCGGAUGUGCCCAGAUGGGAUUAGCUAGUAGGUGGGGUAACGGCUCACCUAGGCGACGAUCCCUAGCUGGUCUGAGAGGAUGACCAGCCACACUGGAACUGAGACACGGUCCAGACUCCUACGGGAGGCAGCAGUGGGGAAUAUUGCACAAAGGGCGCAAGCCUGAUGCAGCCAUGCCGCGUGUAUGAAGAAGGCCUUCGGGUUGUAAAGUACUUUCAGCGGGGAGGAAGGGAGUAAAGUUAAUACCUUUGCUCAUUGACGUUACCCGCAGAAGAAGCACCGGCUAACUCCGUG
This 490-nucleotide ribosomal RNA is filed under the name uncultured bacterium. Its description in RNAcentral is "partial 16S ribosomal RNA". It matches the Rfam family "Bacterial small subunit ribosomal RNA", at positions 30 to 507 of the family's 1533-position model. The record is from RNAcentral.